UACGGAGGAUGCGAGCGUUAUCCGGAUUUAUUGGGUUUAAAGGGUGCGUAGGCGGAUUUUUAAGUCAGCGGUAAAAUGUCCGGGCUCAACCCGGGCCGGCCGUUGAAACUGGGGAUCCUGAGUGGGCGAGAAGUAUGCGGAAUGCGUGGUGUAGCGGUGAAAUGCAUAGAUAUCACGCAGAACUCCGAUUGCGAAGGCAGCAUACCGGCGCCCUACUGACGCUGAGGCACGAAAGCGUGGGUAUCGAACAGG
RNAcentral lists this ribosomal RNA (252 nucleotides) under uncultured bacterium. Its description in RNAcentral is "partial 16S ribosomal RNA". It matches the Rfam family "Bacterial small subunit ribosomal RNA", at positions 524 to 776 of the family's 1533-position model. The record is from RNAcentral.